RNAcentral lists this ribosomal RNA (520 nucleotides) under uncultured bacterium. RNAcentral's name for it is "bacterial SSU rRNA". It matches the Rfam family "Bacterial small subunit ribosomal RNA", at positions 8 to 518 of the family's 1533-position model. The record is from RNAcentral.
AGAGUUUGAUCCUGGCUUAGGAUGAACGCUAGCUACAGGCUUAACACAUGCAAGUCGAGGGGCAGCAUGAUCUUAGCUUGCUAAGAUGAUGGCGACCGGCGCACGGGUGAGUAACGCGUAUCCAACCUUCCCUGUACUAGGGGAUAGCCCGGCGAAAGUCGGAUUAAUACCCUAUGUUUUCCGAAGCGAGCAUUUAAUUUGGAACAAAGGUUUACCGGUAUAGGAUGGGGAUGCGUCUGAUUAGAUAGUAGGCGGGGUAACGGCCCACCUAGUCGACGAUCAGUAGGGGUUCUGAGAGGAAGGUCCCCCACAUUGGAACUGAGACACGGUCCAAACUCCUACGGGAGGCAGCAGUGAGGAAUAUUGGUCAAUGGGCGAGAGCCUGAACCAGCCAAGUAGCGUGCAGGAUGACGGCCCUAUGGGUUGUAAACUGCUUUUAUAUAGGGAUAAAGUGAGGGACGUGUCCCUUAUUGUAGGUACUAUAUGAAUAAGGACCGGCUAAUUCCGUGCCAGCAGCAGC